AAAAGGGCAUACCAAACAAUAUCCCUGUGGAGCUGGGUGUUUUUGGCCUUGGCAUUCCACAGAUGUGACCUGAGAACUUGCAGAAUGUACAUGAAAGUGCAAUUCACAUAAUUAAUAUGUUCACUGCAUGAAGAUUUUAUUCACCAUAAGUAGGGAUGGUGAAAGAUGGACAGAAAGCACGGAAGUCUGAGGUGGGAAGUUCUUUGCUCUUUUUAAAAAGAUGCUUACUGCUGAAGUAAGUACAAAACAGGCAAGCAUAUUUUAAUCAGGGGAUAUUUUCAAGGCUUGCAACAAUAAGUUACAUUGGAUCUAUCCAGGAAGGAUUUUAAAAAUUCCCAAUCAAACCUAUCUCACAUACUUCAUUUUUAACAAAGGAAGGGAAGAGAAAAGAGAAAAAAAAGAAGAAAUAAAUUGAGUAUAAUGUGGCAGAUGCCUUUCUCACUGCCUAUAAUUGUGUAAAGAAACAAUACAAUGCAGUAAAACUUGGCGGAUUUUAUUUGGUUUAUUAGCUCCGGCUGCAU
RNAcentral lists this long non-coding RNA (521 nucleotides) under Callithrix jacchus (white-tufted-ear marmoset). Its description in RNAcentral is "lncRNA (ENSCJAG00000059296.2)". The record is from RNAcentral. Lineage: Eukaryota; Metazoa; Chordata; Mammalia; Primates; Cebidae.